AAGUCGUAACAAGGUUUCCGUAGGUGAACCUGCGGAAGGAUCAUUAACACGUAUCCAAACGUUAAAACCCCCCCCGUGAACCUUCAUCCUGCUCUUGUAACCCGCGUAGUUCGCAAUCUCUGAUAAAUCAUAGGCCGGAAAGUUGUAGUGAUUCAGAGACCUCGAACAGUUACAAUCGAGCGGUUCUAUAGGCAAUGUUUCCCCAAGCAGUCAGUGUCGGAAAGUGUCAUUGAUUGUGCAAGGAUAGCGCUUCUACGAUUCCUGCAGACCGUACACUCGGGCAGGAGCUUUGUCAAAUUACCCCACAGUUUAAUGUGAAGCUCAAUGUAAUACAUUGGGUAAAAAAACCGAACAACUGUUAACAAUGGAUAUCUUGGUUCUC
This 382-nucleotide unclassified non-coding RNA is filed under the name fungal sp. Its description in RNAcentral is "partial internal transcribed spacer region". The stretch from base 1 to 46 matches the Rfam family "Eukaryotic small subunit ribosomal RNA", at positions 1786 to 1831 of the family's 1831-position model. Lineage: Eukaryota; Fungi. The record is from RNAcentral.